This is a non-coding RNA of Rattus norvegicus (Norway rat), 52 nucleotides long. NCBI's taxonomy places the organism in Eukaryota, Metazoa, Chordata, Mammalia, Rodentia, Muridae. The record is from Rfam.
GGGAAAUGGGGGGAGGGGACAGUCCCAGGACCAAAAACAAGCUUGUGGGGCA